Molecule: non-coding RNA, 238 nt
Filed under: Caloramator quimbayensis
Lineage: Bacteria; Bacillati; Bacillota; Clostridia; Eubacteriales; Clostridiaceae
Description: T-box sequence
Rfam family: T-box leader
About the family: Uncharged tRNA acts as the effector for transcription antitermination of genes in the T-box leader family. T-boxes are found upstream of many aminoacyl-tRNA synthetase genes and some amino acid biosynthetic genes usually in Gram-positive bacteria.
Source: RNAcentral
UGUAAAACUAUGAAGGGAAGAGUAGGUACAGAUUUGAAUUUUCAGCGAGCCGAUGAUGGUGGAAGAUCGGUAUGACAGCUGUAUUGAAGAACAUCCCGGAGUUCCCAACCGAAAUGAAAAGAGUAGACUUGGGGGUGACCAGAACCUUAAAUCUGGAGAGUAUCGGAUUUUACCUGUACUUUUAAGGCGGCCUUUUGGCAAAUUGGGUGGUACCGCGAAAUUAACCUUCGUCCCUUUA